ACCUGGCUGGCUCAGUUGGUAGAGCGCACGACUUUUGAUCUCGGGGUUGUGGGUUUGAGAUCCAUGCUGGGGG
This 73-nucleotide transfer RNA is filed under the name Mustela putorius furo (domestic ferret). It matches the Rfam family "tRNA". From Rfam's summary of the family: Transfer RNA (tRNA) molecules are approximately 80 nucleotides in length. Lineage: Eukaryota; Metazoa; Chordata; Mammalia; Carnivora; Mustelidae. The record is from Rfam by way of RNAcentral.